Molecule: ribosomal RNA, 272 nt
Filed under: Providencia rettgeri
Lineage: Bacteria; Pseudomonadati; Pseudomonadota; Gammaproteobacteria; Enterobacterales; Morganellaceae
Also listed under: 1 other name
Description: partial 16S ribosomal RNA
Rfam family: Bacterial small subunit ribosomal RNA
Source: RNAcentral
CCGCCUGGGGAGUACGGCCGCAAGGUUAAAACUCAAAUGAAUUGACGGGGGCCCGCACAAGCGGUGGAGCAUGUGGUUUAAUUCGAUGCAACGCGAAGAACCUUACCUACUCUUGACAUCCAGAGAAUUUAGCAGAGAUGCUUUAGUGCCUUCGGGAACUCUGAGACAGGUGCUGCAUGGCUGUCGUCAGCUCGUGUUGUGAAAUGUUGGGUUAAGUCCCGCAACGAGCGCAACCCUUAUCCUUUGUUGCCAGCGAUUCGGUCGGGAACUCA